CAGCGUUGCGUGUUUCUUGCCGGAGGUAGAGCUACUGGAUGGCCGAUGGGCCCUACAAGGUUACUGACGUCAGCCAAACUCCGAAUGCCGGUGAAGUUUGAGCAUUGCAGUGAGACUGUGGGGGAUAAGCUUCAUAGUCGAGAGGGAAACAGCCCAGAUCGCCGGUUAAGGCCCCUAAGGGUGUACUAAGUGGAAAAGGAUGUGGGAUCGCGAAGACAGCCAGGAGGUUGGCUUAGAAGCAGCCAUCCUUUAAAGAAAGCGUAACAGCUCACUGGUCUAAAUAAGGGGUCCUGCGCCGAAAAUGUAACGGGGCUCAAGCCACGAGCCGAAGCUUCGGGUGUAUCGCAAGAUACGCGGUAGCGGAGCGUUCCCUAGGCCGUUGAAGGGAUACUCGUGAGAGAUCCUGGAGGUAUGGGAAGUGCGAAUGCUGACAUGAGU
Molecule: ribosomal RNA, 438 nt
Filed under: Ctenophora environmental sample
Lineage: Eukaryota; Metazoa; Ctenophora
Description: partial Bacterial large subunit ribosomal RNA
Rfam family: Bacterial large subunit ribosomal RNA
Source: RNAcentral